RNAcentral lists this ribosomal RNA (253 nucleotides) under uncultured bacterium. RNAcentral's name for it is "partial 16S ribosomal RNA". It matches the Rfam family "Bacterial small subunit ribosomal RNA", at positions 524 to 776 of the family's 1533-position model. The record is from RNAcentral.
UACGAAGGGUGCAAGCGUUACUCGGAAUUACUGGGCGUAAAGCGUGCGUAGGUGGUUUGUUAAGUCUAAUGUGAAAGCCCUGGGCUCAACCUGGGAAUUGCACUGGAUACUGGCAGGCUAGAGUGCGGUAGAGGAUGGCGGAAUUCCCGGUGUAGCAGUGAAAUGCGUAGAGAUCGGGAGGAACAUCUGUGGCGAAGGCGGCCAUCUGGACCAGCACUGACACUGAGGCACGAAAGCGUGGGGAGCAAACAGG